RNAcentral lists this ribosomal RNA (805 nucleotides) under uncultured bacterium. Its description in RNAcentral is "bacterial SSU rRNA". It matches the Rfam family "Bacterial small subunit ribosomal RNA", at positions 9 to 795 of the family's 1533-position model. The record is from RNAcentral.
AGAGUUGAUCAUGCUCNGACGAACGCUGGCGGCGUGAAUAGGUUNGCCAAGUUGNGCGAACGCACGGGGCUUCGGCCCCCGUGAACGGAAGCAGCGAAACGGGGUGAGUAACAACGUUGAACAAUCCAGUCCUCACGUUCCGGGAUUAUUGGCCGAAAGGCCNUUGUAAUACUGGCGAGGGUCGUGAUCGGGCAUCUCAUUACGAAGGAAGGUCAGGAGCAAUCCUGCCCGCGCGAGGAGGGGUUCGCGGCCUAUCAGUUAGUUGGUGGGGUAAUGGCCUACCAAGACGACGACGGGUAGCUGGUCUGAGAGGAUGGUCAGCCACAUUGGAACUGAGAUACUGUCCAGACUCCUACGGGAGGCUGCAGUCGAGAAUCUUGGGCAAUGCACGAAAGUGUGACCCAGCGACGCCGCGUGGAGGAUGAAGGCCCUUGGGUUGUAAACUCCUUUUAUGGGGGAAGAAUGUCUCUUCGGAGACUUGACGGUGCCCCUUGAAUAAGCCACGGCUAACUACGUGCCAGCAGCCGCGGUAAUACGUAGGUGGCAAGCGUUGUCCGGAUUUACUGGGCGUAAAGCGUAUGCAGGCGGGUCUUUAAGUAGAAAGUGAAAGGUUGGGGCUCAACCCCGACACUGCUCUCUAUACUGGAGGCCUUGAGUACCGGAGAGGAAGAUGGAACUACACGUGUAGCGGUGAAAUGCGUUGAGAUGUGUAGGAACACCAAUAGCGAAAGCAAUCUUCUGGACGGUCACUGACGCUGAGAUACGAAAGCCAAGGGAGCGAACAGGAUUAGAUACCCUGGUAGUC